Molecule: long non-coding RNA, 694 nt
Organism: Echinops telfairi (small Madagascar hedgehog)
Lineage: Eukaryota; Metazoa; Chordata; Mammalia; Afrosoricida; Tenrecidae
Exons: 5
Source: RefSeq, a predicted model, not a curated record
CUUCCUCUGCCACCUCCCCAAACUUCGACAGGAGGACAAUGAAGGCAACAGUGACUGCUUACCUGUGCCGGGCACUGUCCUCCGUCUCCUUAAACCCUCCCAACAGCCUGAAAGGACCCUGGCUCGUGUCUCCUGGCUGGGAAAGACGGACAGCUCACGCCCACUGAGACCAAGUGUCCCGGGCACCCCACUCUGUGCUUUUCUUCCCCCUCAGAAUGUGCUCACUGGGACAUUAACCGAACCCACAGCUGUUGAGUUGAUGCGUAGCGACCCUGCAGAUGGGUAAGCACAGCUGCCCGACCCCGCUGGGACACAGGAGUGAACGAGGGACUUCCGGCAAAGCAGUAUCUGUUGAGAGCCUACCGCAUACCAGGCCUUGCUGGGGACACACGGAGUCCUUCCCCAAGAAAAAGAAGAGCCAAGACAAAGACGAUCAUGAGGGUUUUCCCCCGGAGAUUUGACAAUCAGAAGUCACAGUCACCUGCCUCCAGCCCCCCAGUGAGCAGGAAGCCUGGUCGUUGACAGCCCAGGCUCUGCGGCCACCACGGAUGACCUGUGUGCCCUGGGGCAAGUUUCUAACCGGCUCCAUGCCUCAAUUUAUCUAACUGAGUAAUGGGGCCAAUAGACAAAGCUGCUGCUUCCCACCUAUAUUCUGCGGUGACACAUGGUACGUGUUUAGAGUUGUGUUGGCACA